This 409-nucleotide ribosomal RNA is filed under the name uncultured bacterium. RNAcentral's name for it is "bacterial SSU rRNA". It matches the Rfam family "Bacterial small subunit ribosomal RNA", at positions 614 to 1018 of the family's 1533-position model. The record is from RNAcentral.
GUGGAGGGGCCAUUCGAAACUGCUGUGACUUGAGUCCGGUAGGGGAGUGUGGAAUUCCCGGUGUAGCGGUGAAAUGCGCAGAUAUCGGGAGGAACACCAGUAGCGAAGGCGGCACUCUGGGCCGGUACUGACACUGAGGAGCGAAAGCGUGGGGAGCGAACAGGAUUAGAUACCCUGGUAGUCCACGCCGUAAACGUUGGGCACUAGGUGUGGGACUCUAUCGACGGGUUCCGUGCCGUAGCUAACGCAUUAAGUGCCCCGCCUGGGGAGUACGGCCGCAAGGCUAAAACUCAAAGGAAUUGACGGGGGCCCGCACAAGCGGCGGAGCGUGUGGCUUAAUUCGAUGCAACGCGAAGAACCUUACCUGGGCUUGACAUGUACGGUAAAGCGGGUGAAAGCCCGUGUGCUU